Molecule: transfer RNA, 73 nt
Filed under: Chlamydiia bacterium
Lineage: Bacteria; Pseudomonadati; Chlamydiota; Chlamydiia
Description: tRNA-Ala
Rfam family: tRNA
About the family: Transfer RNA (tRNA) molecules are approximately 80 nucleotides in length. Their secondary structure includes four short double-helical elements and three loops (D, anti-codon, and T loops).
Source: RNAcentral
GGGGGCUUAGCUCAUUUGGUAGAGCGUCUGAUUUGCAUUCAGAAGGUGAGGAGUUCGAAUCUCCUAGCCUCCA